Molecule: small nucleolar RNA, 117 nt
Filed under: Drosophila willistoni
Lineage: Eukaryota; Metazoa; Arthropoda; Insecta; Diptera; Drosophilidae
Description: snoRNA:GK26636
Source: RNAcentral
UUUCGAUUUAGCAAGCAGGGCCAAGAGAAAAAUUCUCCUUUCGGGGAAUUCAGAAGUUCAGACAUAGUUGAAGCGAUUUAACCCACGCUCGAUUAUAUCACUCAGCUUCCGACAUUU